CCUGGCUUCACGCCAUCACACCUGUAUGAUCCAUUCUCAGUGCUGGGACACAGCUCUUCCAGACAAGCAAGGCCCCUGUUUUCAAGGUGUCAAGACGCAGACAACAAACUCACAAACAAACCAGUGAAACGAACGGUGAUAUCUGUUGUGAAGGCAAUUGAAAGACCCCAAUGCCAAGUAACCGACAUGGUGUAAAUAGUGGCAGAGUGUCCUGGGCAGAGAGAACAGCAAGGGCAAAGGUCCUGGGGCAGGAAUGGAUGCAGAGUGCUAAGGGGACAGAAAGAAGGCUGCUGUGCUGGAGCGUCCCCAGGGAGGAGCGGUGGGCUGAGGGAGGGGGUGAGUUCAGAGAGGCAGCCCGGCAGAUCUUGCAGGGCCUGUGGAGCUUAUUCUAAGUGUGAUGGGCAGCUCCUCCCAGCUGGGAGAAUUAAAUGGAGUAAUGAAGCACAGCGCUUGCACCAGGGUUGGUGCCAGGUGACUGCUGUCUGUGCCCUCACCCCAUGACAGACGCACCAUGGCUGAGACAUUAGGGUCACAUGGUGACUUGGAGCCUCAGGUCCUAGGAACUGCCCGGACGCAACUUCAGAUCGUUGGCUGGGAUCCAUUCAAAGACGUCAGGAGGUGUUUAUUCAGAUCACUGGCUUCUCUCUGCACCGCCCCCGACCCUCACCCCCCACCCCCGUCAUCCCCCAACACGGGGCCACGGUAAGGCAGUUCUGUCUGUUUCCUCAAAUCUAAAACACAGCCGGGCUUUUCAGGGCUCUAAGGCCCCCGAGUGUGGUGGGUGCCCCGAGAAGGACAGGGCAGGGAUGUCUGGGGAUCCGGUUCUCUCCCGCUUGCAGGUGUGGCUGGCGUGCGCGUUGGGAGCGCCUGCUUGCCCCUCCUCCGGGGGGAAGGACUGGCCGUCGUCCCUGCUCCGGGGAUGCGGGAUGCGGGUGCGCCGAGCCCUCGGGAGGCCUGGCUCUGGUGUGGGCUGCGGGGAGAAGGCGCGGGAAGGAAGGAAAGAGGCGAAACGGUGCGGGAGGGAGGCGGCCGUUGCCAUGGAAGGAGCUGCAAGCCUCCCUGCAGACCGCGAACGGAGCCCCCGCACCCCCGAGGCUGGCCUCUGGCCUCCCGCCCCAGCCCGGCCGGGGGCCCCUCCCCGCUCCGCCGUCCGCCUUGGGUACAGAAGCGGCGAGUGGCCCCUUUCCAGGAGGCCUGUUUACCAGCACGACAACAGCAAAUUAGUGCGCUUAAGAGGCAUUCAGCGUUUAUCCCGGCAAACAUGCGCAGCGCGAAGGGGGCCUGCAAGGCCUGCUCCCCGGAAUCUACUGAAAUGGGUCUGCUGUGCAUCUUAAUCGACUUCCUUCCACCCACCACAUUAAAUGCAUUUAAUCUACUCUUGCAAAUGGCUAAUUUUGAAAAUCCGCUUAUCAGAAUUAGGUCCUCAACAUCCAUAUUUAUUUACUUUUCAUUUUCAUAAUCUUUUUUUUUUUUUCCAUGUGUGUGACUGAAUUCCGUUUACUAUUGUCUGGCUCUCUCUCACACGUCCCGGGGGGCCGGGGCAGGGGAGAAGGGCCAGGUUAGGAGCAAACUGGAAAUGGAAACCUGGCAGGGAUAAAAGGCAUGGGCUCGGGAUUUGAGGACUGGGAGGCUCUUCCCCGGUGGCAGCAUCUUCAGGAAAUCACCAAGAGCUGAGGCUUGAGCAGAGCAGGUUUAAAAAGGCGAUGAGGAAGUCUUGCUGAAUCCCAGGCACCCGGGGCCUGCCUGGCAGGAAUCAGCAGCCGUGUCAGAAAUGUGCAAGAAAGUGGUUGGGAUCAGCUGUCUUCCCCAGCGCCCCCGGUGCCAGGCUCCGUGCUAAGCGCUUCACGUGGACCGGCACUCAUGCUCACGCCAGCCCUGCUCAGUGAAUGCCAGGCGCGUCUCGCAGACAAGAAGACUCCUGCUGCGGCUUAGACCCACAUUCACAUCCAGACUGCACGUCCUCCUCUGCAGCAUGUUGUCAAGCGUGCAAGGCACGUUUUUCCUAUGAGUGUGUAAGAAACACAAGUUUGUGUGUGCGGGACUCAGGCCUGUGAGAAACGCAGACCAAGGGAGAGAUGGGUGUUCAGAAUCUGGAAAAUGGCUCUCCAGGUCACAGCCUGUGCAGCCUCAAGUGUGAAUUCCGCAUGUGGCCUUCCUCACACCACGUUUGAGUUUUGCAAGUUUGCUAACAGCUGCUACAAAGCUAGGAAGAGCGGCCAGGCCUCUUGGCCUCUAAAGGACUUAUCACUCAAUGUUAAUUUUGUUGUUGCCAGUCCCUUAAUGAGCUUAUUUGGCACACAUCUAGAGCAAAAACCUGAAUUUCACUUCAUUUAAUUUACUUUCAACAUUGGCUGGGCACCUCCUAUUGGCCAAAUGAUGUUCUGCAGAAUACCUGGGUGGAAGGAUAAAUCCGAUCUGUUUCUAGCCUUGGGAAGCUCACAUUAACUGGAUUUUACAAGAAAGGCUCAGAACAACAAAGUGUUAACAUACGCAUACCAGACAAUUUUAUUUUCCCAAACAACUGCUAAAUUAUGUUGUAGCCAUCUUAGAUUUCCAGAUCUAUGGGAAUUUCUAAAGCAUAAGGCAUUAAUUACAUCCUGAUGGUUGAGAUUAGGGCUGAAUUGUCUGCAGACUUGAACUCAAACCUGCAGUUCUGCCACCUUCAAUUUACGACCUUGGGCACUUUGGAGCCUCAGUAUCCUCAUCUGUGUAAUGGGGAUUAUAUAAAUAUCUACCCAUAGGGCUCCGAAGAUUUAAAUUAAUGCUGUAAAUUAAUGUAGGUGGAGCCUUUAGUGAGGUAUUUGACAAAGGUCUACAUCUAACAACUAAAUAGUAAGCAUUAUGAUAUAUAAUCAUUUACUCAAACUCAGCAAAUAGAAUUCAAAGACAGAAAUAAACAUUGAUCAAAGAAAUGUUUUCCAACGUUCUGAGUAUGUUCGUGAGGCACCUGGAAAGCCACCGAAGCAGCCAGUGGGUCUUCAGGCCCUGCCGCCAGGUGCUGGCUGAAUGGCAAGGUGGACCAAUGAUUUACUGGGGCCCCUCCCUCGUUUCUCUGGCCCCCACCUUUUCCCCUUUCGACUUCCUGCCUCUCUCUAGAAUUACAUGAUAUGCCAAAGUAAAUUCCCUCAGACUUGCAAAUAGCCUAUACUUAAUCCCCCCCACCCCGCCCACCUGAGGAUAAAAACUCCUUGCAGAAGACAAAAUUUCCUCCCAUCCCGUGUUAGGGAUGUGUGGGCGCAUGUCUGCAGGAAGGGGAAGCCGUGGGAGUGUGUGUGUGUGUGUGUGUGUGUGUGUGUGUGUCGAUGCAGGAAGGAAGCGGGCGGAUGUGUGCGCAGGGAGACACCUGUGGGUGUGAGCGCGGGGAUUUGUGAAUGAACGAGCCUGUGUGUGCAGGGACUGGGUGUGUGGAAGGGGCGGUGGCCCAGAGAAAACCCAGGUCCUCCAGCACUCACUCUGGAUCAGGACCCCUUCCAUCUGAGCGAGCUGAGUAACGUGGGUGGAGCGGGCUCAUGGGAUGGCUCAUGCCCUCUAAGACGAGGUCAGAGAGAGAGACUGCAGGACCAAGGACCCAGAUGGGCAAAAGGGCGGAAGGUCGGCCACAAGGCCAUGUGGGGUGUUCUGGGCGGAUCUGAGUGCGUGUUUCCCGGGUGGUGGAUGUGGACUGGCUUUGGAGAUGGGCAAGCUGGCAGGUGAGGGGGCAGAGCUGAGUGGACACCAGAGAGGAUGACCCACUCAGGGGAUUCUGCCAGCCGUGUCUGGGGCUGCAGACACAGUGGUUUCAACAGAGCAGCAGGGGUGGACAGAGGUCACAGAGGGAGGGAAAACAAUCUCAGAGAGAGGGU
This is a long non-coding RNA of Macaca mulatta (Rhesus monkey), 3842 nucleotides long. NCBI's taxonomy places the organism in Eukaryota, Metazoa, Chordata, Mammalia, Primates, Cercopithecidae. The record is from Ensembl.